Molecule: RNA transcript, 1298 nt
Organism: Quercus robur (English oak)
Lineage: Eukaryota; Viridiplantae; Streptophyta; Magnoliopsida; Fagales; Fagaceae
Gene name: phosphoglucan phosphatase LSF2, chloroplastic
Exons: 6
Source: RefSeq, a predicted model, not a curated record
AAAAAAAUCUAGCACCCCAAUCACCCGUGAGUCAGACAAACAAAGUUAAGAACUAAAGAGGUACAGUAGCUUGGAAGUUGUAGUCGAGCGUGUAAAAUGGGUAGUAUCGGUAACAGCUUGUUUUCUUAUUCAGUUCUCAAAGCUCCUCUUGAAAACAAGAAGAUAUUGAUGAACUCUGCAUGCUAUUCCUUUGUGUCCAUUUCCAAGAGUAGCUCAAGCUUGAGAAAGAUUAAUUGUAAACUACCUGAGACUCAGACUGGGAUUCAGCAGCACAGACACACAAGCAAAAAAGCCUCCGAUUCAAAGACCAACAAGAUGGAAGAGUACAACAUUGCUAUGAAGGGGAUGAUGAGGAACCCUUAUGAGUAUCAUCAUGAUCUUGGCAUGAACUAUACCCUGAUAACUGAAAAUCUAAUAGUGGGCUCCCAGCCACAGAAACCUGAAGAUAUAGAUCACCUAAAAAAGGAAGAGAAUGUGGCAUAUAUUUUGAACUUGCAGCAGGACAAGGAUGUUGAAUAUUGGGGAAUUGACCUGCAGUCAAUAAUAAAAAGAUGCAAAGAACUUGGAAUCCGUCACAUGAGGAGGCCUGCAAGAGACUUUGAUCCAGAUUCAUUGAGAAGUGGAUUACCUAAAGCUGUUUCAUCACUGGAAUGGGCCAUUUUUGAGGGGAAAGGAAAAGUGUAUGUGCACUGCACUGCUGGAUUGGGGAGGGCACCAGCUGUUGCAAUCUCUUACAUGUUCUGGUUUUGUGGGAUGAAUUUGAAUACAGCAUAUGAUACACUAACUGCAAAAAGGCCUUGUGGCCCCAAUAAGAGAGCAAUACGUGGAGCUACUUAUGAUCUAGCUAAGAAUGAUCCAUGGAAAGAGCCUUUUGAGAAUCUUCCAGAAAAUGCAUUUGAGGGUAUGGCAGAUUGGGAGAGGAACUUGAUUCAAGACCGUGUCCGUUCCCUCCGUGGAAGUUGAGCACUUAGCUGUGCUCCUAAUAUAUUGGAGCUGGUCAUUCCAAGGACUAUAUGUUUGAGUAAUAAGCAGAUGUACUUGAUGUUUCCAUGCCAUUAGAAAUUCCCAGCAUCUUAUCAACAAUAAAUAGCAAGAUAAUGAAACAUAGAGUGGGUACAGGGGCAAUUUCAGGCCUGCACUCAAAGUUGGAGCUUUUCAAGUAUACUUUACCAGCCUCUCUUGGAAAGAAUUAAAAUCUAGCUUUAAUUGUGUAUGUAUGAUUUAUGAUUCAAAUAAUGUAUUUAAGAAGCAAAUAAAAUUGAGCUGCCAAGAUGGCACUGGGGGUUUAGCAGUUGCAA